RNAcentral lists this transfer RNA (75 nucleotides) under Candidatus Methanoperedentaceae archaeon. RNAcentral describes it as "Candidatus Methanoperedenaceae archaeon tRNA-OTHER". It matches the Rfam family "tRNA". Rfam says of the family: Transfer RNA (tRNA) molecules are approximately 80 nucleotides in length. The record is from RNAcentral. Lineage: Archaea; Methanobacteriati; Methanobacteriota; Methanomicrobia; Methanosarcinales; Candidatus Methanoperedentaceae.
AUCCCCUUAGCUCAGCCAGUAAGAGCACUGCUACAAGGAAAGCAGAGGACGCCGGUUCAAAUCCGGCAGGGGUUA